RNAcentral lists this ribosomal RNA (460 nucleotides) under uncultured bacterium. Its description in RNAcentral is "SSU rRNA". It matches the Rfam family "Bacterial small subunit ribosomal RNA", at positions 26 to 518 of the family's 1533-position model. The record is from RNAcentral.
AGAAUCAACGCUGGCGGCGUGCCUAACACAUGCAAGUCGAACGAGAAAGUGGAGCAAUCCAUUAGUAAAGUGGCGCACGGGUGAGUAACACGUGACUAACCUACCCUUGAGUGGGGGGAUAACCUAGAGAAAUCUGGGCUAAUACCGCAUAAUACCUUCGGGUCAAAGGAGCAAUUCGCUUAAGGAGGGGGUCGCGGCCGAUUAGUUAGUUGGCGGGGUAAUGGCCCACCAAGACUAUGAUCGGUAUCCGGCCUGAGAGGGCGCACGGACACACUGGAACUGAAACACGGUCCAGACUCCUACGGGAGGCAGCAGUGGGGAAUUUGCGCAAUGGGGGAAACCCUGACGCAGCAACGCCGCGUGGAGGAUGAAGCCCCUUGGGGCGUAAACUCCUUUCGAUCGGGACGAUAAUGACGGUACCGAGAGAAGAAGCCCCGGCUAACUUCGCGCCAGCAGCCGC